CGAAAGUGAAUGUGUUUGGCGGUGGGGUUAAGCAAGCAGCCUUCUGCUUUGUUGACAGCCUCAAGCCUCGUCCCUCGCACACUAUUUUAUGAGAAGGGCAGAGAGUUCCACUUAGCAUUUGGUGUGUUUAUCAUCAUGAGUAAGAGAAAAAAUCCCGCAACUUCUGGAAAUUUGAAUCAUGAUAUUUGUGACUUUCUAAGUGAACUAGCAAAUUAUGAAAAGAAUGUGAAUCGAAAUAUUCACAAGUACAAUGCAUACCGAAAGGCAGCAAGUGCGAUAGCUUCACACUCCACACGCUUGACAUCUGGUGAAGAAGCUCGUAAACUGGAUGGUGUUGGUCAGAAAAUAUCGGAUAAAAUAAAUGAGUUCUUAUCAACAGGAAAAUUGCAAAAGCUAGAAAAGAUUCAUUCGGAUGAUACAAGUACAGCUGUUACACUCUUAACCAGAGUGUCAGGUAUAGGACCAGCUAAAGCAAAAGAGCUUGUCAAUGAUGGCAUAAGGUCUAUUGAAGAUCUUGAGAGUCAUAAAGAAAAAUUAAACCAUCAUCAACUUAUUGGUUUGAAAUAUUUCAAUGAUUUUGAAGUAAAAAUCCCUCGCAGUGAAAUAGAAGAGAUAGAAGCAGUUCUGGUCAAGAAGAUAUCUGACCUUGACUCGGACUAUAUUGUCACCAUUUGUGGAAGUUAUCGGAGAGGGAAAUCAGAGAGUGGUGACAUUGAUGCUUUGAUCACUCAUCCCAGUUUCACAUCAGAUGUGAAAGCCAAGACUAAAUCUCACCUCUUGAAGGAUGUCACAAAAUGUCUUGAAGAAUGUGGACUCAUAUGUGAUACUUUAAGCCACGGUGAUGUCAAAUUCAUGGGGGCAUGCCGUCUUAGUGAAAAACAUCCGGUGCGAAGAUUAGACAUCCGCUUGACACCUCAAGACCAGUACUGGUGCAGUAUUCUUUAUUUCACGGGCAGUGACAUGUUCAAUAAGGAAAUGCGCACUCAUGCACUCCAAAAAGGAUACACUCUGAAUGAAUACAGUCUUCGACCCCUUGGCUCAACAGGUGUCCCUGGAGAACCUGUAUUCCUGGCUAGUGAGAAGGACAUUUUUGAAUACAUAGAUUAUCCAUACAAAGGACCAGACGAGCGCAGUGUGUAGUAUCUUGUUCAUUUUACAUUUAUUUCUCCAAAGGAGGAAAUUAAGCUUGCAAACUGUGCUUAUAGCACCACCGUGUUAAGGACUAAUCCAGAUGGUGCUAGCCACACAAGCAUCACUGGGUUUAAUUUAUACCAAAACUUAUACAUGUGCGAGCAACCGAGUCAGGGGACCGAAGGACAAUUUCUAGUGGCUAGGACUGGCGGGACGCUAGUGAGACAGAGGCAGAAAGGCAGAGAGGUAGGCUCAGGGUCACCUGCACUGCAAGCGCCUGCAA
This is an RNA transcript of Thrips palmi, 1414 nucleotides long. It is a transcript of the gene named DNA polymerase beta-like, with no coding region annotated. The record is from RefSeq and is a predicted model, not a curated record. The transcript is spliced from 8 exons. Lineage: Eukaryota; Metazoa; Arthropoda; Insecta; Thysanoptera; Thripidae.